This 253-nucleotide ribosomal RNA is filed under the name uncultured bacterium. Its description in RNAcentral is "partial 16S ribosomal RNA". It matches the Rfam family "Bacterial small subunit ribosomal RNA", at positions 524 to 776 of the family's 1533-position model. The record is from RNAcentral.
UACGUAGGUGGCAAGCGUUGUCCGGAUUUACUGGGCGUAAAGAGCGCGCAGGCGGUCGUUCAAGUCGCGUGUGAAAGCCCCCGGCUCAACUGGGGAGGGUCACGCGAUACUGAUCGACUCGAAGGCAGGAGAGGGAAGUGGAAUUCCCGGUGUAGUGGUGAAAUGCGUAGAUAUCGGGAGGAACACCAGUGGCGAAGGCGACUUCCUGGCCUGUUCUUGACGCUGAGGCACGAAGGCCAGGGGAGCAAACGGG